RNAcentral lists this ribosomal RNA (253 nucleotides) under uncultured bacterium. RNAcentral describes it as "partial 16S ribosomal RNA". It matches the Rfam family "Bacterial small subunit ribosomal RNA", at positions 524 to 776 of the family's 1533-position model. The record is from RNAcentral.
GACAGAGGGUGCAAACGUUGCUCGGAAUCACUGGGCGUAAAGGGUGCGUAGGCGGCGCGGUAAGUCGGGUGUGAAAUCUCGGAGCUUAACUCCGAAACUGCAUUCGAUACUGCCGUGCUUGAGGACUGGAGAGGAGACUGGAAUUUACGGUGUAGCGGUGAAAUGCGUAGAUAUCGUAAGGAAGACCAGUGGCGAAGGCGGGUCUCUGGACAGUUCCUGACGCUGAGGCACGAAGGUCAGGGGAGCAAACGGG